CUGCUGGUUUGAUAUCAUAUCAUUUUUAUGUGGUUGAUCUAUCAUGUCUACGUUUCAACCACUGUGUAUGCUGUAACAUCUGUUUUUUUACAAACGCAUCAUGAAUACCUUGUGGCGCUUAAUAACUAGAUUAUGACGAGCUCUCUUACGGUUUACAUGGUCUCAUCACCAUCAGGUAUGUGGAAGACCUUGAACCACAGUAAUUGCAGUUACACAUGUAGUGUAUAAUUUUUUAUGCACGCAUUACAGCUUGCACUUGAAGAGGAAUGAUGAAGCCAAGAAGAUGGCGUCUAAGAAGAACUGGUCUUGGCAUGCUUCUGCAGCAGGCCAUUCAAGUUCAGAAAAAUAUUCCGAGCGGUUUGGUUGCUCCAGCAGCAGCAAUGAUUUUAACAAGCCGGACAAGCCCUGUGGCAAAACUGUGGGCGAUCUAGACAUAUAACUUCCUUGAGAAGAAAUAUACAUAAAUUGUAUCUCCACCGCCACAAAUGUGUGGCGAGAACAACAGAAAUACAAAGUCUGUACUUUGUUUAGGUCUCAAUAAUUUUGUGUAGAGUUUAUUCAGUUCAGCUCAUCAUAGGACAUGCUUAAUAUUUUUUAUCCACAGAAGGUUGUAUCAGUGGGAGAUUAGUUGAUGUCAUAGUUUUGACUCAGUAUUUGCAACUCCCUGUCAUCACUCAAAAA
Molecule: long non-coding RNA, 681 nt
Organism: Lolium rigidum
Lineage: Eukaryota; Viridiplantae; Streptophyta; Magnoliopsida; Poales; Poaceae
Exons: 2
Source: RefSeq, a predicted model, not a curated record